CCUAGGCAACGUCCUAGCAACCCUGAAUGGGAGUGUGUUGGACAGCCCUUCAGAGAACCCCAGCACAGCGGCCACAGAGACCGAGGGGCAGAAGCUGAAGAACGUCCUGGUGCUGAGUGGAGGAGAAGGGUACAUCGAUUUCCGGAUUGGGGAUGGAGAAGAUGAUGAGACAGAGGAGAAUGCAGGAGAUGCCACCCAGGUGAAGCCAGUACUUUCCAAGGCUGAAAGAAGCCACAUUAUUGUGUGGCAAGUAUCAUAUAUCCCGGAGUGAGAAUUUCUCCUUUCCCACCAAUGUAAGUGUCCCUCCUUCCACCUGAAUGCCAAAAUGUACAUACAGAAUGCCUGCAUUAUACCUACUGCUGGAAACCGACCCCAGACAACUGCAAUGGCUCCUGCCUCGGACUGUGACUCCCUUCUAACCUCUGAACUCGCAGCUUUCAUCUUGGGCCCGUGCACUUUCUGUGUGGUUGGAUUAUUGUUCUGCUCUGGAGUUGGCAUCUACAAGGAGAGAAAUGGCAGUGCAUCAAUGAAGUUUGGAGCUCGAACUGUGUAAAGCCUUUGCCCAAUGAUCGGGAGCUGGCAGCUUGAUGGGUGGUGGCUCAGGUUCUCCGGAAGGUUGCCUCAUUCCCACCUGCAUGAGAAGAAGUACGUCCCCCUGGCAUCCCUUGCCAAAGCAGUGGUGGUGAAUCACAACUUCUGCAGCACCCUAGCAGAAAUCCUUUCUAGUUCACCAGUGGACUCUCCUCCUUAUCCACCCUUAAGCACAGAAUAAUGUCGCACAGACUGAGAGCAGCCAGGUUCAAUGAACCCUCAAUAGAAAGGAGUCUCAGGGUUUGGGCAGCACUUCUACACUUUGGUUGGAGAAGGCAGCAGUGCCAUUACUGUGGGGAACACAUCCUCCGUACUGGGAGAUGGAAGGUCUCCCUCCUCUGCUGCUGUUGUCUCAGCAGUCGUGUGCUGGGUGACUGUGUGUGUCCAGAGAGGAUUGUUUGGUAGCCUCGGAUGGGAGACAGGUGUUUGAUCGUGGAGGCCACAGGGCCUUUGGAAACUGUGGUAGCAAAGGGGUACUGGAACCUUGUUUUUUUAAGAGCAGAAAAGGCAGAAAUACGUUAACUCCCCUUUCUAAAAAUGCCAGGCAGAAAAGAACUCUUGAGUUCAUUCUGAAAGGUUCAGGAGAAAGCUAUCUCCGAGUAGCAUUUUUUGGCUUUCAGAAUACAGGUGAGGGCAGAUGAUGUUGGUCUGCUGUGAAUUCUGCAUUAACACACUGAGGUUACUGUGACUCAUGAGGUUGUGCCCUCAUCCCGGGAACUGAUGGAAGGAAGGAGAUGGCUGUUUUCCUUCACACUGUGGCUGUUGGUUAGGAAAGACUGUGUAGGUGCGGUCAAGGAAUAGAAAGGCUGUGUCUCGCCUAAGGUCACACAGAAAAAGGAAUUGAGGCCAGAUCUCCCAACCUCUUUUACCCAACAUUGUAAGCAUCGACCUCGUUACUAAGCAGUUUGAAAAGCUGGACAUUUCUCACUCCUGUAAAGAAUUGACAACCCCCCAAGAGAAAUUCUGACAGUCCUUCUUGUGUAAACAGUGCUGGGGGAUUGCAAAUGCAUGUCCUGCUUACAAGAGACACAGCCAAAAAUGAGGCCAGGGAGAGUGGUUCUGAGCUCCAGAUGCAGCACACGGCAGCUCCAGAUGUAGAGGCAAUGGUUUGUCCUCCCUUUCUGACUGUGGAAACAGUCCUGUCUCCACAAGGACAAGUUCUGUUUCCUUUGAACACUCCCUCCUGGAUGUGUAGGACUAGAGUGCAUAGCAGGUGUUAACAAUGCAUUUGGAGGCUCCUGGUGGUCAUCUUGUUUCUUCCCUGAGCUGUGCAGAACUCCAGGGUUCACAGGGAUGUCCUUGUGCCAAUGUGACAGUAUGAGGACAGCUGGGAAGCUCCCAGUGGUGUCCUGUGCUUGUCACCAUGCACCAGGCUGUCCCCAAGGUUGAUGGUCUAAAGCUAUGUAUGUGCUGCAGGGAUGCAGUAUUCCCAGGGAAGCUCUAACAUGUGGCAUCUGUCCUGAUGCAGCAGCACUGAAAUGCUUUUUGGAUCCACAGUUCAGAAAAGGCUGGAACAAUAGGACAUCACUGGAGAAGAGAGACCUCAGCCACCCAAGUACGAAGCCACAGUGGUGCCCAUGCUGCCUGUGAGCAGUGCUGGUGACACGCACACCCACACUGCUCUUUACUGAGGUAGGGAACCUGUUGGAUGGUGUCCUCCAGCCACUGGCACGCCUGGCUCUGUGCCUGGCAUUUGGCUAAGGAAUGCUCGGAGCCACCACCUGCAUGCAGGGAGACCUUUCACCAGACAUGUCACUGCUGCUGACCAUGCCAGGCUUCUCAUUCACUUUCUCAAAAUGCUUUCUGCUAGGAAGAGCUCUUUGGAUUGUAACACAGAGUGCAGUUAAGUUAACAAGAUCAACAUUUAGACCACAGGCUCCACAGACAUGUUCAUCUGUUAGGGCCAGGUAAAUGUCAUAAUUCAGGCUAAUUGAAGGAACAACAAAAAAGAAAAAGCUGUAGUAAGCCCAGUUCCUUAGCUCUGUCGACUCUUCCGUAGGAAAACACAGAAUUGCAACGUUCUUACCUCUUCUUGUUUGUUCUGUAUCUGGUUUUAGCAGUUGAAGUGACAGUACUCGGUCUGCUGUCACCCACUGGGCCCUGGCAACAUAAGGAAACCAGUCUCGGGCCUCUACCAACAGGUUCCUUUCCAGCCCAGUGCGUGUUUUCCUCCAAGAGAAGCACAUGUCCAAAAGGGGCAGCUCCAGCAAAGUAGAACCAGCCUCUGCUGUCAGCUCCUGUGGGCACUUGGUGGCUGCUGGGCAGCAAGGUGAGAACUGACUGGCUUCAACACACUUCCCUGUCAUAUCUCCACUGUGAUGUAUGUAAAGUAUCUUGUAUGUUACAAAAGGAUUUUAAAAAGUGUCUUAAGGCCUGUAAACUCUGCUAUUUGGUCUGAAGAUGGCAUUCUGUAAAGAGACUGCUGUAUGAAUACGUCCCCAUGCUUUGUUCCCUAUGCUAUCAAACAACAAACCAUAUCUGUUCUGUAUGUAAUAAAUGUGUUAACAUCAGCAAGCGCAA
Long non-coding RNA from Calidris pugnax (ruff), 3111 nucleotides. RefSeq lists it as uncharacterized. The record is from RefSeq and is a predicted model, not a curated record. Lineage: Eukaryota; Metazoa; Chordata; Aves; Charadriiformes; Scolopacidae. The transcript has 2 exons.